AUUGGGCGGUGCCCGGAGAGAGGCCAAUGCAGGGGCUGAGUCGGCAGAGGGAGCUGAAUGCUGACAUCGGUGCGGGCUGCGCGUGGCCAGCUCAGCGAGCGCUUCGCAGACUAGCAUAUCCUUUCCUUUACUAUUUUAUCUUACUUUUGAGUCUUAAAACGGGACUCUUAGGGAAGAUUAGGGAUUCUUGCCUCCCUUUUAGAGAUGGGGAAACUGAGGCUCCGAGAGGCUGCCAGUCACCGUGAAUCAAUUACUGAGCAUCACCCGUGCUUAUUAGAACGUGUACGGUGGAAACAUCUCCAUCUUGCGGGCGGGCAAACUGGGAAGCAGGCGAGUGAAGCAGCUUGCUCAAAGUCGUCUAGCUAUUAAGUAGUAUUAAGUAUUGGAUAGUUUUAAGUGGUAGGAUUACGGGGUGUAUGGCUUUCCUAGGGCUACUGUAACCAAUAACCAGAAAUUUAGUGGCUUAAGACAACAGGUGUUCUUUCACGGUUCUGGAGGCCAGAAAUCCAAAAUCAGGGUGUCGGCGGGUCUGCGCUGCCCCAGGAGUCUGCGGGGGAGGGUCCGUCCUUACCUCUUCCGGCUGCUGGUGGUUCCAGGUGUCCUUGGCUUGUGGCUGCAUCGCUCCAGGCUCUGCCUCUGUCUUCACCUCCCCUCUAGUGUCUGAGUCAAAUCUGUCCUCUCUCCUCUCUCUAAUUAGGACACCUGCUAGUGGGUUUAGAACCCAUCUAAAAUCCAGGAUGAUCUCAUCUUGAGAUCCUUAAUUUUUAGGUGUCCAAAUAAGGUCACGUUCAUAGGUGCCAGCGAUUAGGACGUGGGCAUACCUGUUUAGGGGGCCGCUGUUCAACCCACUGCAUGAGAAUUUACUGCUUUGUAGUAGGUUCCUUUGAAGAUCACAUUUCGCCGUCUCCACGUCUUAGGUAGACUGCAACAAAAAGACACACACACACACACACACACGCAAACAUGUGCCCUCAAGCCGAGAGUAGAGGACUUAAGGGGUCGCUGUGUUUCAAAGUCAUUCGUUUACUCAACAGAUAUUUAUUGAUAUGUAUGAAAGCGCUCUUAAUUAAGUGACAAUUAGAGGGUUGUUCUCUGCACACUGUGACCCUGGUCAGGCGGGCUGUAGCAGGCUUUACAAGGCAGCUCUGAGAUAUUAGGCUUUUAUGAGAGGGCAUGUGGGCUGCCCAGCCUGUCCUGGCUUCGUAUACUUUUAUUUUAUUAUUUUUAUGAACUGCCUUUAUUAAAAUGCGCGACUUAACGUAGGCUUCCAGAAAGAAAUUCACAAAUCAGAAGGUCUUUCAAAAGUAUUAAAAGAAAGUGGAAUGCUCUUUGCCAAUCGGCCCGUCCCAGUAAAAUAUGGUCGCCACAUGUCGGGGAAGGACGGACCGUUCCUGGGCUGCGUUCACCGUGCAUUCAAUAAACAGCCACGUGGUAACAUUAUUAUUCGUCUUCCUGCUCUCCUGCCUCCUGGUUUUGUCUCUGCCUCUGUCUUUCCCAGCAAAUAUAAUCCGGGGGCACCUGGACCCCGCCUGGCUGGCCUCUCUGAUUACGCCCAAGGAUUAAAAAACAGGCAGGUGACAGGAAAGUGCAAAGGUCACACAGCUCAGAAGUUACACAGCCGCAAUUCCAGUCCAGCUGUGAUAGAUCCAGCACAAAAAUGUCCCCUGCCUUUAUCCACAUCCGUGGCAGGAGACUUUGCAGCUCUUCCCAUCAGGAGACAGAGCCUGUUUCCCCACCUCUGGCAUCGGGGCUGGCCGUGUGACCUGUCUGGAGCAGCAGAAUGGGGCAGAAGCCUAGGCCACGAGGAGCAUGCACCUCCUGACAACAGACCCAGGUUGAUCAUCUGGGUGACGAGAGGCUCCUGGUCUGGUCACUCCCUCGCCCACGGCGACAGCUGGCCAUCCACGGAAUGUGUGGGUGGGGCCAUGCUAGACCACCCAGCCCCUUGCUCUUCGGCCCGCUGACCAGAGACAUCUCUGGAGCCCAGCCCAGAUCCGCGGAGCCCCAGCGUACUCAAGCAGCACCAACCGGCUGGCUGUGGCGGUGAAUUUUAUGAGUCAACUUGACAGGGCCGUGGCUGCCCAGCUGAUUGGUUAACCGUCAUGCUGGGUGUGUCUGUGAGGGUGUUCCCGGAAGAGAGUAGCAUGUGAAUUGGUAAACUGAGGAAAGCAGAUGGCCAUCCCAGCCUGGGUGGGGCUCAGCCAUCCCGUUGGAAGCCUUAGGAGAACAAAAGGUGACAUGAAGGAGAAUUCUCUUUCUCUGCUUGUCUUUAAGCUGGGACAUGGGUCUCCUCCCGCCUGCGGGCUCUGACUGGGACUUGCCCCUCCCCUCUCCUGAUGGCCAGCUUGUCACCUGCAGAUGGUGGGAUCUCAGCUUGGGUCACUGCGUGAGCCAAUUCCUAUAAUACAUCUCUCUCUCUCCUAUGUGUCUCCUAUUGGUUCUGUUUCUCUGGAGAACCCAGGAUAAUUGGCUGACUGUAGACUCAUGAGCAAUAACAGGUGCUAACUGUUUUAGGCCCCUGGGCCAUGGGCUGGCUUGUUGCGCGGCAAUAGCUAACUGAUACACUGUAUCUGCCUGUGGCCUUGGAGCUGCCCCAUCGCCUUCCGUGCUCUGUGGACCUUUCUCACAGGACAGGUUUCUUCAAACAGCAGCUCAUCUCGGGCUCCUGACACUUUUUAGUUUAAUACAAUUCAGCAAAUAUUUGAGUGACUCUGCUGCCAGCUGUGCUGCGGGCAGAUGCCUCCUUCGCACGUACAGAGGAUCACUGAGACCUGCUUUGAAAAGUGAGCUCGUUUUCUGACUUUGGGCUCCGGGUCCUGCAAAGGCACCACUGACCCCCACUCCCCACCGGCUCAGCUCCGGCCACACUGGCCGCUUCCUGCUUCUCGACUGUGCAGCCCUCGUCCUCACCUGCUGUGGGUUGAACCGUG
This is a long non-coding RNA of Equus caballus (horse), 2930 nucleotides long. The record is from Ensembl. NCBI's taxonomy places the organism in Eukaryota, Metazoa, Chordata, Mammalia, Perissodactyla, Equidae.